This 278-nucleotide unclassified non-coding RNA is filed under the name uncultured fungus. Its description in RNAcentral is "partial contains small subunit ribosomal RNA, internal transcribed spacer 1, and 5.8S ribosomal RNA". The stretch from base 1 to 73 matches the Rfam family "Eukaryotic small subunit ribosomal RNA", at positions 1759 to 1831 of the family's 1831-position model. Lineage: Eukaryota; Fungi. The record is from RNAcentral.
UCAAACUUGGUCAUUUAGAGGAAGUAAAAGUCGUAACAAGGUCUCCGUUGGUGAACCAGCGGAGGGAUCAUUACCGAGUUAUCAAACUCCCAAACCCCUGUGAACUAUACCGAUUGUUGCUUCGGCGGUGCCCUCGCUCCCGCGGCGAUGGCCCGCCAGAGGACCACAAACCUUUGUAACUCUUGUAUCGUUGGCACUUCUGAGUGAAGAAAAAAAACAAAUAAAUCAAAACUUUCAACAACGGAUCUCUUGGCUCUGGCAUCGAUGAAGAACGCAGC